UCGGGGAAUGGGCUCAUUACAACAGCUAUUAUAUACUUGAUUUUGAUGUCCUACGUGGAUAACUGUGGUAAUUCUAGAGCUAAUACAUGCACCAAAGCUCCGAUUUUCUGACGAGCGCAUCUAUUAGAUUAAAACCAAUCGGGUUUCGGCCCGUAAAUUGGUGACUCUGAAUAACUGUAGCUGAUCGCAUGGUCCAGAACCGGCGACGUGUCUAUCAAGUGUCUGCCUUAUCAACUGUCGAUGGUAGUUUAUGUGCCUACCAUGGUUGUAACGGGUAACGGAGAAUAAGGGUUCGACUCCGGAGAGGGAGCCUGAGAAACGGCUACCACAUCCAAGGAAGGCAGCAGGCGCGCAAAUUACCCACUCUCGGCAUGAGGAGGUAGUGACGAAAAAUAACGAGACCGUUCUCUAUGAGGCCGGUUAUCGGAAUGGGUACAAUUUAAACCCGUUAACGAGGAUCUAUGAGAGGGCAAGUCUGGUGCCAGCAGCCGCGGUAAUUCCAGCUCUCAAAGUGUAUAUCGUCAUUGCUGCGGUUAAAAAGCUCGUAGUUGGAUCUGCGCCUCAGGACUUGGUCCGCCCACUGGGCGAGAACUGGGCUCCUGGGCUAGUUCUGCUGGUUUUCCCUACGUUGCCUUCAUCGGUCGCGUAGGGUGGCUAGCGAGUUUACUUUGAAAAAAUUAGAGUGCUUCACGCGGGCUUAUGUCUGAAUACUCGUGCAUGGAAUAAUAGAAUAGGAUCUCGGUUCUAUUUUGUUGGUUUUCUGAUCUGAGAUAAUGGUUAAGAGGGAACGGACGGGGGCAUUCGUAUCGCUGCGUGAGAGGUGAAAUUCUUGGACCGUAGCGAGACGUCCGACUGCGAAAGCAUUUGCCAAGA
This 873-nucleotide ribosomal RNA is filed under the name Rostellascaris spinicaudatum. Its description in RNAcentral is "SSU rRNA". It matches the Rfam family "Eukaryotic small subunit ribosomal RNA", at positions 86 to 963 of the family's 1831-position model. Lineage: Eukaryota; Metazoa; Nematoda; Chromadorea; Rhabditida; Ascarididae. The record is from RNAcentral.